UUUUUAUGAGAGUUUGAUCCUGGCUCAGGACGAACGCUGGCGGCGUGCCUAAUACAUGCAA
Molecule: ribosomal RNA, 61 nt
Filed under: Streptococcus suis
Lineage: Bacteria; Bacillati; Bacillota; Bacilli; Lactobacillales; Streptococcaceae
Also listed under: 1 other name
Description: partial 16S ribosomal RNA
Rfam family: Bacterial small subunit ribosomal RNA
Source: RNAcentral